CAAACCAAAGCUGGCGACCGGCGCACGGGUGAGUAACACGUAUCCAACCUGCCUCAUACUCGGGGAUAGCCUUUCGAAAGAAAGAUUAAUAUCCGAUAGCAUAUAUUUCCCGCAUGGGUUUUAUAUUAAAGAAAUUCGGUAUGAGAUGGGGAUGCGUUCCAUUAGUUUGUUGGCGGGGUAACGGCCCACCAAGACUACGAUGGAUAGGGGUUCUGAGAGGAAGGUCCCCCACAUUGGAACUGAGACACGGUCCAAACUCCUACGGGAGGCAGCAGUGAGGAAUAUUGGUCAAUGGACGCGAGUCUGAACCAGCCAAGUAGCGUGAAGGAUGACUGCCCUAUGGGUUGUAAACUUCUUUUAUAUGGGAAUAAAGUGGUCCACGUGUGGAUUUUUGUACGUACCAUAUGAAUAAGGAUCGGCUAACUCCGUGCCAGCAGCCGCGGUAAUACGGAGGAUCCGAGCGUUAUCCGGAUUUAUUGGGUUUAAAGGGAGCGUAGGCGGAUUGUUAAGUCAGUUGUGAAAGUUUGCGGCUCAACCGUAAAAUUGCAGUUGAUACUGGCAGUCUUGAGUGCAGUAGAGGUGGGCGGAAUUCGUGGUGUAGCGGUGAAAUGCUUAGAUAUCACGAAGAACUCCGAUUGCGAAGGCAGCUCACUGGAGUGUAACUGACGCUGAUGCUCGAAAGUGUGGGUAUCAAACAGG
RNAcentral lists this ribosomal RNA (699 nucleotides) under uncultured Bacteroidales bacterium. RNAcentral describes it as "bacterial SSU rRNA". It matches the Rfam family "Bacterial small subunit ribosomal RNA", at positions 74 to 776 of the family's 1533-position model. Lineage: Bacteria; Pseudomonadati; Bacteroidota; Bacteroidia; Bacteroidales. The record is from RNAcentral.